GAUGAACGCUAGCGACAGGCCUAACACAUGCAAGUCGAGGGGCAGCAUAAAGGUAGCAAUACUUUGGUGGCGACCGGCGCACGGGUGAGUAACACGUAUGCAACCUACCUGUAAGAGGGGGAAUAACCCGGAGAAAUUCGGACUAAUACCGCAUAAUACUGAUUAUCUGCAUGGAUUGAUCAGUUAAACAUUUAUGGCUUACAGAUGGGCAUGCGUAUGAUUAGAUAGUUGGUAGGGUAACGGCCUACCAAGUCAACGAUCAUUAGGGGUUCUGAGAGGAAGGUCCCCCACACUGGUACUGAGACACGGACCAGACUCCUACGGGAGGCAGCAGUGAGGAAUAUUGGUCAAUGGGCGAGAGCCUGAACCAGCCAAGUCGCGUGAAGGAAGAAGGUUCUAUGGAUUGUAAACUUCUUUUGUAAGGGAAUAAAAAGAGUUACGUGUAACUUAUUGUAUGUACUUUACGAAUAAGGAUCGGCUAACUCCGUG
This 489-nucleotide ribosomal RNA is filed under the name uncultured bacterium. RNAcentral describes it as "bacterial SSU rRNA". It matches the Rfam family "Bacterial small subunit ribosomal RNA", at positions 28 to 507 of the family's 1533-position model. The record is from RNAcentral.